AAAUGUCUAACCUACUUCACUCCCAAGUAAAAAUGUCCAAACCGCAUCUCAAGUGUCAAUGUUUUAUAUAGCUACCGAUAUUUUCCAGCGCUGCCUCGAGCCCUUGGGGGUGAAGUUCAUCAGAGCUUCAUAACUCGCCAGAGGUAUCCUUGCAGCAUUCGCCGCAACUUUGAUGUCACGGUCAUCUUGAUUCAAUCCACGUCUUUAAACGGGUCCUUUUGAGGACUUGCUUGAGCCUUCGAAAGAGGGGAAAAAUAUACGUUCGCGGUAUGUCAUAAAGGAGAUUACAGCUUCGGAUGCAAAACGUUGAGGACAUCACGGCUAAUCCCAGCCGACCUGUUUGAUGGAGGCUCUACUCUUGCAUCCAGUAAAAGAUGUUAUUGAA
Long non-coding RNA from Syngnathus acus (greater pipefish), 385 nucleotides. RefSeq lists it as uncharacterized. The record is from RefSeq and is a predicted model, not a curated record. The transcript has 2 exons. NCBI's taxonomy places the organism in Eukaryota, Metazoa, Chordata, Actinopteri, Syngnathiformes, Syngnathidae.